RNAcentral lists this ribosomal RNA (749 nucleotides) under uncultured Glomus. Its description in RNAcentral is "eukaryotic LSU rRNA". It matches the Rfam family "Eukaryotic large subunit ribosomal RNA", at positions 38 to 633 of the family's 3401-position model. Lineage: Eukaryota; Fungi; Glomeromycota; Glomeromycetes; Glomerales; Glomeraceae. The record is from RNAcentral.
CGAUAUCAAUAAGCGGAGGAAAAGAAAAUAACAAUGAUUCCCUUAGUAACGGCGAGUGAAGGGGGAUAAGCUCAAAUUUUAAAUCUGCUAGGUCUUACCUAUCAGAGUUGUAAUUUGAAGAAGCGUUUUCCGCGUCUCGGUUGACCCAAAUCCUUUGGGAUAUGGUAUCAUGGAGGGUGAGAAUCCCGUUCGGUUGACCUUAUGACGCUUUACGAUACGUUUUCUAAGAGUCGAGUUGUUUGGGAUUGCAGCUCAAAAUGGGAGGUAAAUUUCUCCUAAGGCUAAAUAUUGGCGAGAGACCGAUAGCGAACAAGUACCGUGAGGGAAAGAUGAAAAGAACUUUGAAAAGAGAGUAAAAUAGUACGUGAAAUUGUUGAAAGGGAAACGAUUGAAGUCAGUCGUACCGACGGAAAAUCAGCUCUUUGAGUGCGGACUUGUGGGUUUACGUGAGCUUUACGGCCUCGUCGUUUGCAAUGUUCGUUCUUUUUGGGUGUACUUUUUCGUAUGGUUGGCCAAUAUCAGUUUCGAUCGCUAUAAAAUGACCGGCGGAAUGUAGCUUUGAUCCCGUAUUGAAGUGUUAUAGCCUCUGGUAGAUGUGGUGAUUGGGACUGAGGAUUGCAACGAAUACCUUUUUGGGCUAUCCGUCUGAUCUCUGAAAGUUGCUUAGGUGCCGAAAGCGUGCUUACGGUUAUUUAAGUUGACGGUCAAAAGGUUAGAACGUGAUUAAAUUCGUUAAGGAUGUUGACGUA